Molecule: ribosomal RNA, 254 nt
Filed under: uncultured bacterium
Lineage: Bacteria
Description: partial 16S ribosomal RNA
Rfam family: Bacterial small subunit ribosomal RNA
Source: RNAcentral
UACGGGGGGAGCAAGCGUUGUUCGGAUUUACUGGGCGUAAAGGGCGCGUAGGCGGCCACCGCAAGUCGACUGUGAAAUCUCCGGGCUUAACCCGGAAAGGUCAGCCGAUACUGCGGGGCUAGAGUGCAGAAGGGGCAACUGGAAUUCUCGGUGUAGCGGUGAAAUGCGUAGAGAUCAUGAGGAAGACCAGUGGCGAAGGCGGGUCUCUGGACAGUUCCUGACACUGAGACACGAAGGCCAGGGGAGCAAACGGG